Molecule: long non-coding RNA, 1442 nt
Organism: Beta vulgaris subsp. vulgaris (sugar beet)
Lineage: Eukaryota; Viridiplantae; Streptophyta; Magnoliopsida; Caryophyllales; Amaranthaceae
Exons: 2
Source: RefSeq, a predicted model, not a curated record
UAGCCCUGUUUUUUUAAGAACAUUUUAUUAAUGAUAAUUAUAUUUAUUAAGUUAAUUAUAUUUCGGAAAUAUUUACUUUUUUUUUUUUUUUUUUUUGAAUAGUCGGAAAUAUUUACUUUAUUUGUGAUGUGGAAUGUGAAUUAUAUUGUUGUGUUCGUAAAAUAUAUAUUUAUUUAAUUUUAUGGUGUUAUUAUUGAUAUAUUUUGCAUUUUAAGUUUAAGUUGAGCGGUAAUUGACCCAAUAAGGAAGCGAAAGUUGGUUUCCUUCUCGAACCAUCAAAUGACUCUUCUUAUUUUGUCGGUUUAAUGAACAAAACCCAACUCCCUCCUUUAUCUCGUCAUUUCUCUCAUAACCCCAAAAGCCAAACUCGAGAAACCCAAAAACCGCAACCCGGCGACGAAACCCGACUCCUCUUUCUCAUCUGUUCGUUGCCUUCACGCCGGAGCCCAAGCUCGCCGGAGUUUCCCCUUGUCGUUACUGUUGAUGUCUCGUUUUCUCUCUCCUCCUCUGUUUCGUCGCUGUUGUUUUUAGCGGUGCUGCCGCUCAGUCUUCAAGCCGGUUCGUGGUGGUUGAGCCACCGCGGCUGGUGUCGUUGCUGUGGUUGUUUUGUUGAUGCUGCUGCUUUGCGUCGCACCACGGCACGGGAACCGCCGGAGCUCUGCUCCCUUGUUUGUCUCUGCUCAACAGAGCAAAGGUAUAAUAUACCUUUUUCUUUUUUGUUUCUGAUUUUCUAUUUAUAAAUUAAGCUAAGUUGUUUCUUUUGUUUGUUGUUGUUGUCUUGUAAGUAUGGUUCUAAGUCACUGGUUUUAGUAGAGCAUUGAGCUCCUGAAGGUAAAAAUGGAUUGAUUUUCAAAGUAUUGAUCUUUGCUUGACUUUGAUUUAUUUAGCAAGGAUUAGUGUGAGUUUGAGUCCAGUAUUAUUUUCUUAUUUUCUUAAUUUUGAAGCCAAAUUAGUAUCUUUUGGUUCUAUAUAGGUUGUGAGCUAAAUUUUGUUUGACAGAUUGAUUAAGUUAAGAGUUAUAGUUCUUAAUUGAGGAUAAAGGAAAUUAGAAUGAUAGGUGGAGGUAACUUCUAAAUUGGGAACUGGUCAUGGUUUCACUUGGUAGUUGAUUUUAGUUUGAAAAUAGUUGUUAAUAAUGGUUAUGUUGUUGUGAGGUGGAUUAUUGUGGAGUUGAAGCCAAAGUUGGUGAUCAAUAGUUGAGGAUUAUUCUUGAUGGUGUAUUCUUAAGGAAUUGGAUAACGUUUCAGGUUUGAUAUUCAGAGCUCGAAAUUGGAAGUGAAGCAAGAUUAUGAUGUCGUCGUAGAUUAAGGAUUGAGUUUGUAUUCUAGAUAGUUGUUUAUAUAUCGUUGUAUAUAAUAUUUGGGAAUUUACUAGAGAUAUUGGUGUAAUUAAGGUUGUUUUUCCGCUGUGAUUUUAUUUAAUUAAGAGUUAAUUAUUGGUUA